Erpetoichthys calabaricus (reedfish) is the source of this 405-nucleotide non-coding RNA. Lineage: Eukaryota; Metazoa; Chordata; Cladistia; Polypteriformes; Polypteridae. The record is from the annotation of a RefSeq genome assembly.
AACUUAUGAAAGGAUAGCACAGACACCUUAGACAUGAAUGUUAUUGGGGUUUUAUGCCUAAUAUGCUGCUGGAAGGUUAUUCAUUCCAGUCCAGUGUUGACCCCAUCUUCUAUGUCAGAGCAGAAGAAACCUGGAGAAACUCUCAGCAUUACAUGCCGAGGUUCUGGUUACACUUUUUCCUGUUGUCACAUUGGCUGGGCUCGCCAAGCACCUGGCAAAAGACUGGAAUAUUUGGGUUACACUGGAAGCAGCACUUACGCCGAAAGCGUGAAAGGACGCCUCACUCUCAAGCUGGAUAACUCCAACAGCCAGUCUUCCAUGCAGCUCACUAACUUAAAAUUAGAAGACACUGCCACAUAUUACUGUGCCCGAGAGUCACAGUGCUGCAGCACAUACAACUGUUAA